This 1031-nucleotide ribosomal RNA is filed under the name Chloroscypha seaveri. RNAcentral describes it as "SSU rRNA". It matches the Rfam family "Eukaryotic small subunit ribosomal RNA", at positions 75 to 1115 of the family's 1831-position model. Lineage: Eukaryota; Fungi; Ascomycota; Leotiomycetes; Helotiales; Gelatinodiscaceae. The record is from RNAcentral.
UAUACCGUGAAACUGCGAAUGGCUCAUUAAAUCAGUUAUCGUUUAUUUGAUAGUACCUUACUACUUGGAUAACCGUGGUAAUUCUAGAGCUAAUACAUGCUAAAAACCCCGACUUCGGAAGGGGUGUAUUUAUUAGAUAAAAAACCAAUGCCCUUCGGGGCUUCCUGGUGAUUCAUAAUAACUUAACGAAUCGCAUGGCCUUGUGCCGGCGAUGGUUCAUUCAAAUUUCUGCCCUAUCAACUUUCGAUUGUAAGGUAUUGGCUUACAAUGGUUUCAACGGGUAACGGGGAAUUAGGGUUCUAUUCCGGAGAGGGAGCCUGAGAAACGGCUACCACAUCCAAGGAAGGCAGCAGGCGCGCAAAUUACCCAAUCCCGACACGGGGAGGUAGUGACAAUAAAUACUGAUACAGGGCUCUUUUGGGUCUUGUAAUUGGAAUGAGUACAAUUUAAAUCCCUUAACGAGGAACAAUUGGAGGGCAAGUCUGGUGCCAGCAGCCGCGGUAAUUCCAGCUCCAAUAGCGUAUAUUAAAGUUGUUGCAGUUAAAAAGCUCGUAGUUGAACCUUGGGCCUGGUUGGGUGGUCCGCCUCACCGCGAGUACUACCUCAGCCGGGCCUUUCCUUCUGGGGAACCCCAUGCCCUUCACUGGGUGUGCGGGGGAGCCAGGACUUUUACUUUGAAAAAAUUAGAGUGUUCAAAGCAGGCCUAUGCUCGAAUACAUUAGCAUGGAAUAAUAGAAUAGGACGUUGGUUUUAUUUUGUUGGUUUCUAAGACCGCCGUAAUGAUUAAUAGGGAUAGUCGGGGGCAUCAGUAUUCCGUUGUCAGAGGUGAAAUUCUUGGAUUUACGGAAGACUAACUACUGCGAAAGCAUUUGCCAAGGAUGUUUUCAUUAAUCAGUGAACGAAAGUUAGGGGAUCGAAGACGAUCAGAUACCGUCGUAGUCUUAACCAUAAACUAUGCCGACUAGGGAUCGGGCGAUGUUAUCUAUUUGACUCGCUCGGCACCUUACGAGAAAUCAAAGUCUUUGGGUUCU